GACGAACGCUGGCGGCGUGCUUAACACAUGCAAGUCGAACGGGAGUAUUGAAGAAGCUUGCUUUAGAGAUACUUUAGUGGCGGACGGGUGAGUAACGCGUGAGGAGCUGUCCUAUGCAGGGGGACAACAGCUGGAAACGGCUGCUAAUACCCCAUAAGCCGAGAGGUAAAAGGAUCAAUCCGGCAGAGGAGGUACUCGCGUCCUAUCAGCUAGUAGGUGAGGUAACGGCUCACCUAGGCGAAGACGGGUAGCCGGCCUGAGAGGGCGAACGGCCACACUGGAACUGAGAUACGGUCCAGACUCCUACGGGAGGCAGCAGUGGGGAAUAUUGGGCAAUGGGGGAAACCCUGACCCAGCGACGCCGCGUGGGUGAAGAAAUCCUUCGGGAUGUAAAGCCCUGUUGUAUGGGAAGAGCGGAAGACGGUACCAUACGAGGAAGCCCGGAAACUACGUG
This 454-nucleotide ribosomal RNA is filed under the name uncultured bacterium. RNAcentral describes it as "bacterial SSU rRNA". It matches the Rfam family "Bacterial small subunit ribosomal RNA", at positions 28 to 507 of the family's 1533-position model. The record is from RNAcentral.